RNAcentral lists this ribosomal RNA (253 nucleotides) under uncultured bacterium. Its description in RNAcentral is "partial 16S ribosomal RNA". It matches the Rfam family "Bacterial small subunit ribosomal RNA", at positions 524 to 776 of the family's 1533-position model. The record is from RNAcentral.
UACAUGGGGUGCAAACGUUGCUCGGAAUUAUUGGGCGUAAAGCGCGCGUAGGCGGUUACUUAAGUCGGAUGUGAAAGCCCUCGGCUUAACUGAGGAAGUGCAUCCGAAACUGAGUAGCUAGAGUACGAAAGAGGGUCGCGGAAUUCCCGGUGUAGAGGUGAAAUUCGUAGAUAUCAGGAAGAACACCCGUGGCGAAGGCGGCUCUCUGGGACGGUACUGACGCUGAGACGCGAAAGCGUGGGGAGCGAACAGG